RNAcentral lists this ribosomal RNA (82 nucleotides) under Planctomycetota bacterium. The record is from RNAcentral. Lineage: Bacteria; Pseudomonadati; Planctomycetota.
CCUGGUGCCCAUAGCGAGGGGGAAACGCCCGAUCCCAUUCCGAACUCGGAAGCUAAGCCCCUCAGCGCCGAUGGUACUGCGG